AAAACAACAGUUCCCGACUCUGUACCACCUGCUUCAAUGCAAGCCAGGGCCCGGAGUGAUGCAACCCACAAGCGUGGAAGGGGCUGGCGGAUGGGCUGUCUCGGGGCUGAUCUGAUGUCAGAGCAGAUCAUGUGGUGCUCUGUGGGCAGCAGGGACUGGCCCGCGGGAAGCACAUGGAUUACAGUCUGAGGCUGUGAUGGGAAAGUCGGAUCCUGGGCUGUUGUCUCACACACAUCAGCAGGCGGGGAAGCUGGGGACUCCGACUCGCCCUGCCCGGGCCCUCCUGCUGCGUGGUCACAGGCAAUCGCUGAGAGAAGCUGCUGCUCCAACCUGAUUAAAGUGAAUUGAUUUCAGAUUCUGUAACCCUGUGUUGGACUUGUUUUCUAUGUGGCAAGCGAGGGGUGCGGAGAGGGUGGGCUCUCCCUCCGUCAACAUCACUGCUUCUUAAGAUUCAGGUUGUGUUUGUGCCAGAGGAAUAUAGUGGUUGCCACCCUUCCUUGCUGUGGGAGUACCGUGCUACCUCAUGCCUCAGGCUGGAUCCUCAGCUCUCCAGUAUCCUACGUGUGGCCUUUCUGGAGUAUGAGAGCAGAGAUGGAAUAGCAUCUUACUGUUCCUUCCGGCAUAUUACACUCAACCUCCUUCACAGGCUGGAAAUAAAUAUGUGUACUUGGAAGGCAAAAGGUUGAUGGCUAAAACACCUGUACCAAUAUAUAAACCAACAAGGAAUCUGCUUCAACCCAAUUUAUAAAUAACAGUUUUACAUGGCACAGGAGCUUUAGAAAUGAAGACCCAGAGAAACAGGUAAACAUGUUUUCCCACUUUGGUGUGUGAGGUAGAAAGAUGUAGAGAGCUUUGAUGAUGCCCAGAAGCAGAGGUGACACACAGGUGUAGGCUGAAGGUAGUAGGCCUGGGGAGCAUAGCAAGAUUUGUUUCUUCAAAGGUAAGAGGGUUUCUUUCCUUCAGGUAUAGCGUUAGCACCUCCCUGGAGGGGAGAUGGGCUGGUUAUCAGAGAACACAUUUUCAGCUUUGCUUUCCUCAAAUGUCAAGUGCUAUAUUUUGGGGUGGUGUCUCCUGAUGCUAGGUGUUGGAUGUCUAACACUUUCAGUUGCAAGGCCCUGUUUUAACACUUUGUUUUUAUGGACAUUUCACAGACGAUAGAUAGAUAGAUGGAUCUGACUGGUCACAUGACUGUCAGUAGCCAUUCCACAUAGGUCCCUCUAAGUCAAAAGCUCUCUCUCUCUCUCUCUCUCUCUCUCUCUCUCUCUGUAUGUGUGUGUCCCUCCCUCCCUCCCUUCCUUCCUUUUUUGAGACAGGGUGUCUCCAUGUAGCCCUGCUGUGUGGAACUCACUAUGUGAACUAGGUUGGCCUUGAAUUUAGCGAUCUUUUUGUUUUUAAAAGCAUGCCCCACCAAACCCAGUUAAGGCUGUUUCUUAAGGCCCAUUCCUAUCAAUUAUAAAUUGCUAUAGAGUUGU
This 1472-nucleotide long non-coding RNA is filed under the name Cricetulus griseus (Chinese hamster). RNAcentral's name for it is "lncRNA (ENSCGRG00000025948.1)". Lineage: Eukaryota; Metazoa; Chordata; Mammalia; Rodentia; Cricetidae. The record is from RNAcentral.